AUUAUUAUUAAUUGAAGUAAAAGUUACCUCUCACAUACGGUAUCAUAUACAUACAAAUGAGUCAAAUCACAGUUAUAUGAAUCUGCCUUCUCUUUUUUCCACUUUUUUUUUCUCCAAUUCAAACAUGCAUGUAUCAAUCUUUCUCAAUAUAUGUAGACAGCUAAACAUAAGACCAAGUCGUUCGUUGAAUGCUUUACUCUUGUUGACUUGAAAAUUUCAUAUUAUGGAAUACAAUAAUCUUCAGACGUCUUUGAUUAAUCUUCAUCCACCAAAAGUCAAGAUUUUCUGUAUAUAAAUACUAAGGUACAACUGGCAAUUAUUCUCCAUCACCACAUUGCCUUGGCCUCCGCUUCUUUUGCCAGAUUUAAUCACGUUUUGCCAAAUGGCUUUAAACCAGUCCUCUCAAGUAAAGAUGGUGAUGGUUCUAUUAGCCAUCAUGGUUCUCAUGUCAUCAGCUGUUGCUGUUACCCCUCAGGAUUUGAACUUGAAACCUCUCAAUUUCGUUCGGAAGCUUCUGGAUUACUAUAAACCUCCCACCACAUACCCGGGUAUACCAAGUGGAGGGGGAGGCCAACCAUGCUGUAAAUAAGAAGAUGUAACUCUGAAAACGAGUUGAGAAGAAAAAGAAUGAAAGGAACAAGGGCAAAAGACAUUACUGUUAGAGAAAAAUGUUCUUUAAUUUGAUUUUAAGAGAAUAAAUAUGGUUUCGAAAAGUAUAAGGCAAUAAAUUGAAUCGCACAGACCAAAUUAGUAUUUGUAACUAUAUAUCCAUCCCAUUUAUUCUGUACUCUAGAGCUGUGUUAAGUGUUAAACAAGAUAUGUCUGCUUUUUUUCUUGACCAUAUUGUAUUAAUCAAAUGCUUUCAUAUACGUUUCAAAGCUUAA
Durio zibethinus is the source of this 884-nucleotide long non-coding RNA. RefSeq lists it as uncharacterized. The record is from RefSeq and is a predicted model, not a curated record. Lineage: Eukaryota; Viridiplantae; Streptophyta; Magnoliopsida; Malvales; Malvaceae.